This is a long non-coding RNA of Drosophila subpulchrella, 1441 nucleotides long. RefSeq lists it as uncharacterized. The transcript has 2 exons. The record is from RefSeq and is a predicted model, not a curated record. Lineage: Eukaryota; Metazoa; Arthropoda; Insecta; Diptera; Drosophilidae.
AGUCUAACAAGUUGCUGGUGCUUUGGCAUCGGGUUUGGCUCUUCUAGUUUUCCGGAAAGUUAUGGCCGCAUCCGCCCGCGACAUUUUAUUGUCCUGCUGUACCUGAAUUGCAAGCAACAAUAAAGCGAGCCCUCUCGGUAACGCAGGCAGGCAGGCAGGACUCUCCAAAUUGCCGGCGACCACUUUAAGAAUCCUUCGUCAUUUGGCUAAAAUGCUGUCAGUCCUUGACUUGGAUUCGCCAAAUUUGUAUUGCCUUUUAAAAGAAGAGCUGGAUUGGAUGGUUUCGAAAAAGCUGCCACAUCAUCGAGUGAACUGAAAAACUGGGCUCAAGGACGGACCUUAAUUAUGAGCGGUACCAUCCGACCAUCCAACCAUCCGACCAGCCAUGCAAAACUUGAUUAUUCAUUUGAAGACUCAUUUUAUUAUCUGCAUAAAUCUUUGCCGAAUCCACCAGCCACAACUUUCUGUUUACUUUGUUGUGGGGAGGCAAAGAGCUCGCAGGCCAAAAGGAAAAAAGACAAAAUGGAUCCAUCAUUCACUGGCGUGGCCGCAUUUAAAACAUCUUGAUUAAAAAACUAAAAAAGGCGACUGGGAAAAGCUAGAAGAAUGGCGGUCGGUGAAAUGGUAAAAUGAAAGCCAAAUGCAAACUCAGCGCAUUCUAAGUGCGCCAGUGGAAAAACAAAAAGGAAAGGAAAUUCGCGGAAAAAAUUAAAAAACAAAAUGAGAGAAGGCUAAAAAACUUAUAAGCCGCGAGCGUAGAGCCAAGUUGCGGAAUAACCGCGGCUGGGCAGCGUUUAAAAAGGGAUUUCAAAAUUAACGUCCAUCAGGCGGGAAACAAAAAAAGCAAAAAUGAAAGAGAAGAAAAGUCAAUUUGAAUGAUUAAAUAGCGAAAGCUGUGUGUAAAAGUUGUGUCGCCGCACCGCCAUCGACCCCAAAAACCCAACCAUUUCCAAUCCAAAUCCCGAGCGUAGCGCCCACCAAAAACAGAGAAAAAGGCGAUUAGUGUGGUCUUUUGUGUGGCUUAAGCGUCGCCAUUGCCAUCGCUUCCUUUUUUGGGCACUCUCAGGCGAAUUUACAUUUAUUAAUUCCCCUGGCAGCUGCCGAAAAAAGGGUCAGGUUUCUGGCCGGGUUAUGUAUGCGAGUAAAUAAAAACAUGUGAACGUUAGCGCAAAAAGCGAUAAUCCAUCAUUUUCGUCACAGGUUGACUUUGGCGCUCGAACAGUGGUUAAAUCUUUUCGAAACCACCAUGCAAAAUGGUUGUUAUGUGCUCCACUCUAGAUCAACCUCUGGUUGAGCUAUACAUUGACAAAAAAUUCUUUCAUUGUCAAUUGUUAAUUGUUUAAUAUUGUAAAAGUAAGUUUGGAAAUUAAUCGAUUUUAAACCUGGAUUUUAAUAUGAAAUACAAAAUGGUACAAUUAAAUAUAACUAAAAUUGUAACUAA